UGGGGAAUUUUGGACAAUGGGCGAAAGCCUGAUCCAGCAAUGCCGCGUGUGUGAAGAAGGCCUUCGGGUUGUAAAGCACUUUUGUCCGGAAAGAAAUCCUUGGCUCUAAUACAGUCGGGGGAUGACGGUACCGGAAGAAUAAGCACCGGCUAACUACGUGCCAGCAGCCGCGGUAAUACGUAGGGUGCAAGCGUUAAUCGGAAUUACUGGGCGUAAAGCGUGCGCAGGCGGUUUGCUAAGACCGAUGUGAAAUCCCCGGGCUCAACCUGGGAACUGCAUUGGUGACUGGCAGGCUAGAGUAUGGCAGAGGGGGGUAGAAUUCCACGUGUAGCAGUGAAAUGCGUAGAGAUGUGGAGGAAUACCGAUGGCGAAGGCAGCCCCCUGGGCCAAUACUGACGCUCAUGCACGAAAGCGUGGGGAGCAAACAGGAUUAGAUACCCUGGUAGUCCAGCGCCCUAAACGAUGUCAACUAGUUGUUGGGGACUUCAUUUCCUUAGUAACGUAGCUAACGCGUGAAGUUGACCGCCUGGGGAGUACGGUCGCAAGAUU
RNAcentral lists this ribosomal RNA (549 nucleotides) under uncultured bacterium. RNAcentral describes it as "partial 16S ribosomal RNA". It matches the Rfam family "Bacterial small subunit ribosomal RNA", at positions 355 to 895 of the family's 1533-position model. The record is from RNAcentral.